Molecule: ribosomal RNA, 1416 nt
Filed under: Triticum aestivum (bread wheat)
Lineage: Eukaryota; Viridiplantae; Streptophyta; Magnoliopsida; Poales; Poaceae
Description: partial small subunit ribosomal RNA
Source: RNAcentral
CUCCAUUGCCAGUAGCGACACCAAUGGCGCCGUUGAUCAACUGAAAGUACAGCGGGGUUUUUAUGCCCAAACUACGAGUGUCGUGUUCUCCUCAAGGACUAGGCAAAUCGAUGAUCGUGCUUGGCUAAAGCUAGGUGACAAUUCAGAUGAUGAUCGCAAAAAAAUAUAAACCUAAACUAACAAUAUAGGAUGAUGACAAAUAAAAUGUCAAGAGAGAUUAAGAUUGAAACUCAUUGUAUCUUUGGUAUUUUUGUUUUACUAGAGACGCUAAAACACUAACAUAAAGGGAAGCAACGGGACAUGAACACAUAUAUUACUAUCAUACAAGUAACAAAGGGGAAGAAAGAAUGCUAUGACAGAGACAGAAAUAUAUCACAACAUAAACAUAUAUAUUUUCACAUGGAAGUAAUUAACACAGGGACUACAGAACACACAUAAGCACACAUAUGCGAACAGGGUACUACACCAUGAUUCAGGUUACACAAGUAAUCUAAUUAUACAAGCCACUUGACUAGUAUCACAGAUCAACAGAGUAGUAUUGAACAACUAAAAAUAGAUAGUAGAAGUAACUAGUACAGGAAGCAAGUACUCUUAGAAUCUGAAUGUUAUAGACUACACAUCUCAAACUACAGAAAAUUCAGAGAAGAGAAGGAGAAAGAGAGAUGGCAGCAGGAGAUUAGAGAAAGAAGCAGCAACAGGGACGUGGAGAGAGGGAGCAGCAGCAGUACUGGGGAUAGAAGAAGAAAGAGAAGCAGCAGGAGAUUGAGGGCAUCAGCAGCAGCAAGAGAAAGGAUUGAGGGGAGAUCAGGGGCAGCAGCUAGAUGGCGCAAGUGGGAGCAGCAACAAGGAGAAGUUCAGAGAAGAAGGAGCAGCAAGGGGUCGCUGGAGAGGAGCAGCAGCAGGUUGAAGAUUAGAGUAGCAGCAGCAGGGGCAUCAGGGAGAGAGAAGCAGCAGCGUGGGUUGAGGGCGAGCAGCAGCAGGUUGAAGAAGGAGGAGCAGCAGCGACUUGGAGUUGGGAGAUGGAGAAGAGGGAAGCAGCAGGGGGCGGUGAGAGAAGAGAGGAGCAGUAGCAAGGGGAGAAGAAGGGCAGCAGCACAGGGGCGCAAGGAAGAGCAGCAGCAAAGGUAAGGGAAGAAGGACUCACGCGGAGGUUCAGACGCCCGCAUCCUCGUGUCUGAUGGGACGUGCGAGUGGUGAUGGUGGAGUGGUGGCGCUGGUGAUGGUGGAUGAUGGCGCUAGGUGGUGAUUCGGCGUUGGUGGAUGGAGAUGGGUGAUGUGGUGCUGGAGGUGGGUGUGCUUGUGGAUGGAUGGGUGGCGGAGGCGCACCACCACACCGGCCUGGCCGUGGCGGCGGCCGGUGGUGGAGAAGAAGGGGAGAGGGAGAGAGAUGAGAUGUGCCAGGCCCGAAGGGACCCA